This is a non-coding RNA of Danio rerio (zebrafish), 2340 nucleotides long. The record is from Rfam. Lineage: Eukaryota; Metazoa; Chordata; Actinopteri; Cypriniformes; Danionidae.
ACCAGGAUUACUAACUGCGAGUCAGAGCGUGUCCUCAAGCCCCCACAGCACAAUGAAGGUGAAGGUUGGCAUGUACCAGCCCAUCCUGCCAGCUCUGUCAGGGAGGAGGAGCUAAAGCAUGCGCAAUGGUACUUAAAAGAAUGUGAACUAUGCCUGUACAGGGCAAAGCCUGGGGAAACUGUGUUGGGGGCCUGCAGCAGUCCUGAUGUGCAAAUCGUUUGUCCGACCUUGAUACAGAGGCAAAAGACUAAUACUAAUAUACAUCUAGUAGCUGGUUUCCUCUGAACUUUCCCUCAGGAUAACUUGCACUUUCCAUACAGUUUUAUCUGGUAAAGCAAAUAACUAGAGGCAUUGGGGCCGAAAUGACCUCAACCUAUUUUUAAACUUUAAAUGGGUGUAGCAAAUUAGCUCAAAGUGAAUAGAAGAAUAAUUUGAAUGGGGUUUUAAAAGAAUAGACUCUUUAAAUCUAAACAGAUUAAUCAUUCAGGGAUCAUUCAAACGGACAGUUGACUUCAAUUAUGGCUAUUGCUAUCCAAAAAUAAAAACCCAUUUAUGUUUAAGCAGGAUAACAAGGUUGAAGUUUAAGGCAUUAAAUUCAUAAAUAAGCACAGGCACCUUUCUUUAUACAAAAUGACACUUUAUUGACUAAUCUAAAGGAAACUAACACCUAACAAAAUCCCACAUUCAUACAUGAUGUUGAGAAGAGCAAAGGAAGAGAAAUAAGAAUUUGAGAGAGUGUAAUUAUGCAAAAUUCUCGAAUUUUGUAAGCCCAAACCAAAAAUAAUAAAUUAAGCCCUUCUAUGGUCUCCAUAGGGUCAGAUUUAGUUUAGCCAUUAAGCAUGUGGCCAUUAAGCAUGUGGUUAGCUGGUGGUCAGUUUUCUGUCCUCGCAAGGCUUGAAUGGGGUGGAGUUUGGAUUUUCAGUUGAGGCGGCAAAACUGACUUUUGGUUUUACAGCACGCUAAACUUGAGCAGACUCUCGAAGGAAAGAAAAGAAAGUUAUCGGAGAUGUGUGGUCAACCCAUUUUUGCCAGAGUCCAUGUCUCUUCACUGGACCCGAAAAAAGCUGUCUUGAGGUGGUACGGAACAACUCUUUUUCCUCUGGGUGUUCUCUGGGGUUCUCUGGAUUCUGCUCUCUCCUGGGGCGUGGCCUUAGUUACCAGCUUUAUAAGGGUGGUUUUGUACCCACCCUCCGGAGCUUAGUUGACCAAUGAGAAGUUAUGAAGCCUGGUGAUUUGUAUAGGCGUUUUCUGUGUAAACUAUUGCUUUUGCUUAGAAAGAAACAUUAGAAAUAUAAGAAAUGUUCAAGUUUUUUAAAAUGUUAAUAUGUUGCAUGCGUAUUAACAUAACAUGUAAACAAUCAUUCAGUACACCAAAUUAGCUUUGCAGGGACAUCAAACAUGAACCAUCUAUGAUCUUGUUUAGCUGUGGUAGCGUUAAACAUUGAUUGCAGAAGCAUUAGAUCAUAAUAUUAAUACAUGAGCAAAAGACUUGUUGCAAAGCACCUGAUUACACAUAAAGAGAGAAUAAGGGUUUACAUUACAAGAAUGAGUCUUAAGCAAGGAGCUUAUGGAAGUUUAGGUCUCUGCGUGUACAUUUCUGAGCAUUUCUUUGUGUCGUAAAUACCUUAAAAUCAUAUUAAACACUGACCCUACUGUCUUUUACUGGGUAUAAGAGGUUGAUGAUGUAUCAUUUGUGGAAUAAACCAAAAUAAUUAUUUUUCUGAUCGGCCGCAAUCGUUAAAUGGGUAAAAAGCCAGGCAUGGAACGUGAGGCACCCAGUGGGCUAUUUUUGGUAAGCAGAACCGGUGCUGCAGGAUGAACCGAAAGCGAGGUUAAGGUGACAAACGAUGACAUUUAUUAGACACAAGAAAAGGUGUUGGCCGAAUCAACUAGCCCUGAAAAUGGAUGGCACUGGAGUGUCAGACCCAUACCCGGUCUGCGAUAGCAGAAUGAGUCCUUCUCUGGGGGAAAGGGUAAUGACGACUUCAAACAGGAGGACCACUAUGAUAGGGUCGAAACCCAGGGUGCGGGCCCGAGUGGAGUCGUCGUAGGUGCAGAUCUUGGGUAGUAGCAGAUAUUCAAAAAAGAGCUUUGAAGGCCGAAGUGGUGAAGGGCAAACGAACACAGAGAUGCCGGCGGGUGGGCCAGGAUAGAGUCCUCUUUUCUUUGUGAAGGGCAGGGUGCCCUGGAAUAAAUUCGCCCCGAGAGAGGGGCCCGCGCCACCCUUCUGGUGGCUUCUGGUGAGCUCUUGUUGGCCCUUAGAAACCCAGGGGUGAAGGUGUCUCGCGCCGGGGCGUACUCAUUUCUGCAGCAGGUCUUCAAGGUGAACAGCCUCUGGCA